Molecule: ribosomal RNA, 253 nt
Filed under: uncultured Prevotella sp.
Lineage: Bacteria; Pseudomonadati; Bacteroidota; Bacteroidia; Bacteroidales; Prevotellaceae
Description: partial 16S ribosomal RNA
Rfam family: Bacterial small subunit ribosomal RNA
Source: RNAcentral
UACGGAAGGUCCGGGCGUUAUCCGGAUUUAUUGGGUUUAAAGGGAGCGUAGGCCGGUCUUUAAGCGUGCCGUGAAAUUUUGUGGCUCAACCAUGAGAGUGCGGCGCGAACUGGAGACCUUGAGUGCGCGGAAGGCAGGCGGAAUUCGUGGUGUAGCGGUGAAAUGCUUAGAUAUAACUUAGAACUCCGAUAGCGAAGGCAGCUUACCAGACUGCGACUGACGCUGAAGCACGAGAGCGUGGGUAGCGAACAGG